This 1202-nucleotide long non-coding RNA is filed under the name Sorghum bicolor (sorghum). RNAcentral's name for it is "long non-coding RNA (SBIC_LNC001758)". Lineage: Eukaryota; Viridiplantae; Streptophyta; Magnoliopsida; Poales; Poaceae. The record is from RNAcentral.
CCCGUGCGCACCGCUCGUGCCGUCGACGCCCGGAGGCCUCGUGUCGCCGCUGUACGGUCACGGUGGAGCCGGGACACCUGCGCCCUAAGUUGCACGGAUACGGAUACGUGUAUCAGUAUCCGAACGAUACGGAUACGCGGAUACGGCAAUUUCCUAAAAAACCCGAUACGUGGAUACGUUUACUAUUUUAAAAAAUAAAAUAAUAAUAAUAAUAAUAAUGCAGUUCUGAAUUUAAAACUAAUAACAAUAAAAUGUCACAAUAAACUACUUAAAGUACAGGUCUAAAGUCUCAUCAACUCUCAGAUAUAGUAGUCUCAAACUUAGAAAAUAAUAAUAAGGCAUUCAGGCUUGCGAUUCAUGCUGCAGCAGGUUUCUAUUCCUCAUUUGUUUCAUUGUCAUCCACAAUAUCAACCGGUGGCUCAUCCAGACCAAAAGACACUGCUUGCAGUUCAGGUUCAUCAAGGGACAGAUCCUACGCUGGGACUACCACUUGCACUAGCACUGCUCAUAUUUGGAGAUGCCAUCUACUGCAAUCAAGCAACAAGAACUCACUAACUGCACUGCAGAUCUAGAAUGGGGAGAGGAAGACUAGGCUACGAACUGAAGAAGAAGAGAUCGAGAAGAGAACAGAGAAGAGGAUGAACUCACAAGAGUUCCCUGGAUCCACGUCGCAGGGGAGGAAACUUGUUGCCGGCGGCCGGCGAGCGGAGGCGGAGGCUCGUCGCCGGUGGCCGGCGCUGGCGGGCAGCGAGCAAGGGAUGCGUCGUCGCCGUAUGGGGAUGCGGCGCGAGGCACAGCAUGCGGGAGUGCGGGACAGCGCGAGUUCCAGGUUAGGGCGUCGGAGACAGGCAUAUGUGCCAUGUGUUUUUGGGCUGGGCCGUAUCCACAAGGCUGAUACGUAUCAGCCCACGUAUCCAAUUUUUGUAAAAAUAAUAAAAAAAUCAGAUACUUCUAGGAUACGUAUCCAUGGCGUAUCGGACACGUACCGUAUCCGAUACGUAUCGGAUACGCGAUACGCGGCUUCCUGCAAGUAUGCGUGUAACGUAGCCUGCGCCGCGGCUGCAACACGGUGCGGCCUAGAGCUCUGGCACGUUAACAAGCAUAGGGGCGAAGUUUUUUCUCUUGCUGAAAAGCAAGGACAAAGGUUUCAAAUAAAACACAUGGACGAGUGGUUAAACACAAAGAAAAAAGCUCAUUAUUUU